This 561-nucleotide ribosomal RNA is filed under the name Holothuria leucospilota. RNAcentral describes it as "partial 16S ribosomal RNA". It matches the Rfam family "Bacterial large subunit ribosomal RNA", at positions 1796 to 2623 of the family's 2925-position model. The record is from RNAcentral. Lineage: Eukaryota; Metazoa; Echinodermata; Holothuroidea; Aspidochirotida; Holothuriidae.
UCGCCUGUUUUUCAAAAACAUAGCCCCUUGAACAUAUAAAGGGUCCCGCCUGCCCAGUGACCUCAAAGGUUAAACGGCCGCGGUAUCUUGACCGUGCAAAGGUAGCAUAAUCACUUGUCUUUUAAAUGGAGACCUGUAUGAACGGCAAAACCUUUUCAAACUGUCUCCCUCCCUAACCUUUUAAACUCCUUUUCACGCGAAGAAGCGUGAAUACAUCAGAAAGACGAGAAGACCCUGUCGAGCUUCAGCCAAUAAGUGAGCUAACAAAACCUAUGUGUUAACAUCACCCAAAGGCUUUGGUUGGGGUAACCAUGGAGAACAUUAAUCCUCCAGAACAAGCAGACGAACUCUCUUCCCUACUAAACGAACUAAAGAACCAGGAACUGGUAAUCGGAAAAAGUUACCGCAGGGAUAACAGCGUCAUCCCCUUUAAGAGUCCUUAUUGACAAGGGGGUUUGCGACCUCGAUGUUGGAUUGGGGCUCCCUUAGGGUGCAGAAGCUCUAAACGGUUAGACUGUUCGUCUAUUAAAGCCCUACAUGAUCUGAGUUAAACCCGGAGAA